GGGAUAGGAAGGGCAAAAGAAUUCCAUUAACUUGAAGCUUCGGGAGCGGACGGUGAUAAGUCAGAGAGAGAGAGAGAGAGAGAGAAGGGGAUCGAUCUUCGAGAGGGGAUACGACCCCGUCGCCUUCGUCGCCGGCCAACUCAGAUCCUUCGCCGAUUCCUUCUUCUCCUCUUCCUCUUACAUGAGAAGAAGAUCCGCGGACCUCAGGUAAAGAUCUCUUCCCCGUCCUUCCACUCUUUCACGUUCUUUCCGAUCCUUCUUUUUUCUCGAUCGUGUCAUCUCGACCGCUUUUGGUUGAUUUCUUGGUCGUGAUCGCGUCGCCUUCAUGACCGGCCAACUCAGAUCUGGCGCCGAUUCCUUCCCCUCCUCCGUUUGCAUGGGAAGAAGAUCCGCGGACCUCAGGGAAAGAUCUCUUCCCUGUCCUUCCCCUCUUACUCGUUCUUUUCGAUCCUUCUUUUUUCACGAUCGUGUCAUCUCCACCGCUUUUGGUUGAUUUCUUGGUCCAUUUAUCGUGCUCCGCAUUUGAUUGAUUUCUUAGUCGUGAUCGCGUCGCCUUCAUGACCGGCCAACUCAGAUCUGGCGCCGAUUCCUUCCCCUCCUCCGUUUGCAUGGGAAGAAGAUCCGCGGACCUCAGGUAAAGAUCUCUUCCCUGUCCUUCCCCUCUUUCACGUUCUUUCCGAGCCUUCUUUUUUCUUGAUUGUGUCAUCUCCACAGCAUUUGGUUGAUUUCUUGGUCGAUCUAUCCCGCGACAUGUUACCUUUUGGUAGACAAGUUCGAGGGCUUGAUUCUUGAUUUCCAAUUGGUUCCUUCCUUAGCUUCGUUCCCGAUCUUAGAGCUCAUGCACACCCCAAUAGUGUGGUUCUACCUAAUCGGAAUACACAUUGUAAGCUAGAAUCAUCAAACUACCCUUAAGUGAGCAAAAUGAUGAGUCCCGUAGAUGUUGAUUUAGAUUCCCUUUUCUGUUCAUUGGAACUCGUCAGAGAACUUUUCUGAACUUUGAUCGAUUUUAUAAUCAAUAUUUUAUUGAAUCUUUGUGGUGUUUUCCUGCGUGUAGAGGGAAAAAAAAAAAAGAAAAGAAGAAGAAACAGUUUACCAAAAUUUCUAAAAGUAAAAAAAAGGAAACUCUUAUAUGAAAUAGUGCUAUCUUAUGUUUUUGUGUUCGUCUCAUGUUUGGAAGCAUAUCAUCAACCCUUUGGUCAAUUUUAACAUUCACUUUAAGUACUACUUUAUUUUUUUUAACUUGAUUAACUACUUGUAUAUUUGAAUUCUUUCUAAAUCCAAUUCAAACAUCUAUUUACUUUUGUGUCUAUUCCAAGACUUUUAUGUCAAAUAUACUUUGUUUAAAUUAAUUGAAUUUAAUGGUUACGAGAAGUAAACAAAAAUGAUUAAUUGCAAUCCUUAUUGCCAAUAUGAUUGUGCUUUUCUGGUUUGCUUGUGUUGAGGUUUUUCUGUAGCCCAAAGAAUUCCCGUAAAGGGAUAUUGAUGCAGGAAUUAUUCAAUGUAUCAAUAACAAAAAUAUACUUAAAUUUUUUGUCCAUGUUUCUUGAUUUAGAGAAACUGUUUUAAGAAACAGUUUUUGGAGAAUGAUGGCUAUAACGUGUCACAAAACCAAUUUAAGAAACAAGAUAUUAACUAUGGUUGCAUUUUGUAAAUGUUUUCUCGUUUGCCCCCCAUAAAAAAAAGUAGUAAACUCUUUUCCGAAUGAAUUCUUUGUCCAUGUAUGUCACUUUGCUUUUUAAUUGAUUUCUUUGACGUUUUCUGUCUUAACAUGUUCUUCGUCAUCGUCACAUGACGUGGUUGGUUAUUCGUUGUCCCAGAUCUUUUAAUAGACACGUUUGAGGGCUUGAUUCUUGAUUUUUUGAGUUGCAAUUAUUGGUACUUUAAUCAUUUAGCUUUCGUUCCCGAUCUUAAAGGUGCUUCGCAGGAUUUCUUUUCCUUCUCUAGCCUGGUGAGCGCAUUAGGGAGUUGGUUGUACCAAUCUGAAAACGUAUGCAAAAGUUAAAAUCAUCAAACUUCCCUUUAGUAAGCAAGCAAAAGGGGGUGAAUCCCGUAGAUGUUAUUCAAAUUGCGUUUUCUGUUCAUGCUUUGGAAGUUGGCAGAAAUUCAUGUUUCUUAGAGUGUUUACGUCUUCCCCAAAGAAGGGGGCACGACAAAGCAUGAGCUUUGGAACCGUUCUUCAUUUCAGGAAUUUGUGUUUUUUUGGAUGAUUUGGAAGAUACGGAAGCGUGAACAAAAUGGUUCUUGGAUGGCAGUAGUAUUGUUAUGAUAGAUUUCAUUUUGGGGGGCAAUAAAAACUGAAAGAGGAAUUAGUCUCAAAUUUGGUCCUUGGCUUUGCUUGGGUGAUUUUGUCGAGUUUAUCCUCGCUGCAUGCUUUGUCUUGCCUGCAUAAUGUUGUGCUAUAUUGCGAAUCUCAUCUCCACCAAACCUGUCUUGGAUAUUUCUUAGAUAUUUCACUUUAGGAUUUCCAAACAGAUGUAGGGUCUUUUUUGCCUCAACACUAGUGUAUUAUUAUAAUUUUUGGUUGGUUCGAAGUGGUGUCAAAAGUGCCUAAACAAGUACGGAGUCUGGUUCUUAUUAUGUCAGUAUGGUCACAUUUUUUUUCUAUGGAUAAAUUUGAUUGGGGUGUGGUUUUUUCUAUGGAUAAAUUUAAGGAUUUUUCUGUUCUACAAAGUGCUUCUAACUAACUGUAAUCUGAGAAAUUUGUUGCAG
Molecule: long non-coding RNA, 2709 nt
Filed under: Musa acuminata (dwarf banana)
Lineage: Eukaryota; Viridiplantae; Streptophyta; Magnoliopsida; Zingiberales; Musaceae
Description: long non-coding RNA (MACU_LNC005554)
Source: RNAcentral